Molecule: long non-coding RNA, 617 nt
Organism: Ipomoea nil (Japanese morning glory)
Lineage: Eukaryota; Viridiplantae; Streptophyta; Magnoliopsida; Solanales; Convolvulaceae
Exons: 2
Source: RefSeq, a predicted model, not a curated record
AGAGAUCCAUUUAAUCUUAUUGACCUAACUUCCUUUAUUUUUCAAAAUUCAGACUGAUUCCGCUGUGGAAAAUAACUGCACUGGCAUGAUAAUGCCCUCGAUGUGGCCUGAAGGGCAAGCCAUCGAAAACAGACCGCAACAUCAACAGCUAUGGCAUGCCGAUGGAUUUCAUCAACCUAUGUGGACUAGGGAAGAGAAUUGUAGCUUCAUAGCACCAGAGAACUCACUAUUAUGUUAUGACUCGACAAAUUCAGGUCCUUUGCUUGCAAAUCAGCUAAAGAUGGAGAUAUGAAAGAGAGCAAAAGCAAAGGUUUUUGCAGUAGUUAGGCAUGAUGUAUAUAUGAUUUAUAGUAGUAGAUAGCGGGGAAGUAGAGAGGAUGGUGUGAAGAGUUCCAACCCAACCGGGUAUCCGCAUUCCCUAAUUAACAGAGAACCAGAAACUCCCAUUGCUCUUAUGUGAGUAUAACAAGUAUGACAUCUAUUUUAUGAAUGAAUACUAACGUAGAGGAAAGCGGAGGAGUCACUUCGUGUGAUGGAUGCUUCGCUUGUUUGUAUGAUGAGAUAAGAUAACGAUUCAUUCAUGCUUGUUUGUAAAGAAAGAUGGACAGUAUUAUUAU